AUGGCAUCCACCUCCGGGUCGUGCUGCAUCACCUCACACACGAGCACUUCUCUGCCACAAGUGCUCCCGACCGAGACCUUUGUGCUGCUAUGUUUUGGACAUGCCAAGUCCCUCGAAGACCACGGAUGCCUGGUACGACUACACGACCUGAACACAAGUUCCACGACAACCUUGUACCACUGCCGUCGCAAGAACCAAAGUAACGACGUCGACGACCCUCAAGUUCGACUACACGGUGAUGCGUCAAGUACCUCCACCACGUCUCCGGAAUUGCAAAGAACGACAAGUACCCCGAGAACAUGUACUUCUACACCGCCAAGACCGGACCGACAAGUAGCCCGACGUCGUGUGUACCACUACCGUCGACCCUCGAAGACUCCGUGA
This 384-nucleotide ribosomal RNA is filed under the name Triticum aestivum (bread wheat). Its description in RNAcentral is "partial small subunit ribosomal RNA". Lineage: Eukaryota; Viridiplantae; Streptophyta; Magnoliopsida; Poales; Poaceae. The record is from RNAcentral.